Chelonoidis abingdonii (Abingdon island giant tortoise) is the source of this 126-nucleotide non-coding RNA. The record is from RefSeq and is a predicted model, not a curated record. NCBI's taxonomy places the organism in Eukaryota, Metazoa, Chordata, Testudines, Testudinidae.
UUCCAUUUUGUAUGUGUGACCUGAUUUUUCCUUCCUAAAUGGAGCACUUUGCAUUUGUCUUUGUUAACUUCAUCUGUUUACCUCAGACAAUUUCUUCAGUUUGCAUCCAGAUCAUUUUGAAAUAUG